RNAcentral lists this transfer RNA (70 nucleotides) under Arocatus melanocephalus. RNAcentral describes it as "tRNA-Ser". The record is from RNAcentral. Lineage: Eukaryota; Metazoa; Arthropoda; Insecta; Hemiptera; Lygaeidae.
AGGGGAAUGAAGUAAUCUGAAAGAAGCUGCUAACUAUCUUUUAAAGUGGUUAAAAUCCAUUUAUCCCCUA